This 427-nucleotide long non-coding RNA is filed under the name Salmo salar (Atlantic salmon). Its description in RNAcentral is "lncRNA (ENSSSAG00000103826.1)". The record is from RNAcentral. Lineage: Eukaryota; Metazoa; Chordata; Actinopteri; Salmoniformes; Salmonidae.
CACCAGCACAAGCACCAGACGAUGCUGAUCCAGGUGAAGGCCCCAGUGCAGCAGCAACAGCACAUGAUGGAGACGAUGAUGAGGAGGAGACCAUCUCUCUGGAUUCCAGAAGGCAUGAGGACCCAGAUGCUAUACAGUGGGAAAACCAGCCUGGCAACAUAAGCUCACAAGCUAUCAGAAAGUUGUAUGGCAACCACCUCCGGCGCCAAAUAGAACUGGCAGACAUAGACAUUCAGUACAAGAAGAAAAAGAUGGAAAAUCUUGCACUGGAGUCCGAAAUAAAAAAGAGGACAAUUAGGAAACUGGACCUUGAAAUAAAAAAACUUGAGAGGGAGCUCCAAGAAGAUGACACAGCUCAAAAUAAAAAUUAGGUAUAUUCUCGUAAAGUCAAGUGAGCCAUGACAUAUGAGCUCUUAUUGUGAGCACA